GAUGAACGCUGGCGGCGUGCCUAAUACAUGCAAGUCGAGCGAACAGACGAGGAGCUUGCUCCUCUGACGUUAGCGGCGGACGGGUGAGUAACACGUGGAUAACCUACCUAUAAGACUGGGAUAACUUCGGGAAACCGGAGCUAAUCCCGGAUAAUAUAUUGAACCGCAUGGUUCAAUAGUGAAAGUCGGUUUUGCUGUCACUUAUAGAUGGUUCCGCGCCGCAUUAGCUAGUUGGUAAGGUAACGGCUUACCAAGGCAACGAUGCGUAGCCGACCUGAGAGGGUGAUCGGCCACACUGGAAGUGAGACACGGUCCAGACUCCUACGGGAGGGAGCAGUAGGGAAUCUUCCGCAAAGGGCGAAAGCCUGACGGAGCAACGCCGCGUGAGUGAUGAAGGUCUUCGGAUCGUAAAACUCUGUUAUUAGGGAAGAACAAAUGUGGAAGUAACUAUGCACGUCUUGACGGUACCUAAUCAGAAAGCCAUGGCUAACUACGUG
This 497-nucleotide ribosomal RNA is filed under the name uncultured bacterium. RNAcentral's name for it is "partial 16S ribosomal RNA". It matches the Rfam family "Bacterial small subunit ribosomal RNA", at positions 28 to 507 of the family's 1533-position model. The record is from RNAcentral.